UUGCCUGUUUAUCAAAAACAUGUCUAUUUGGUAGAUAAAAAUAGUCUGGCCUGCUCACUGAUAAAUAAAUUAAAGAGCCGCGGUAUAUUGACCGUGCAAAGGUAGCAUAAUCAUUAGUUUUUUAAUUGGAAACUUGUAUGAAUGGUCGGACAAAAGAAAAGCUGUCUGUAUUACAAAUGUUGAAUUUAACUUUUAAGUGAAAAGGCUUAAAUAAUUUAAAGGGACGAUAAGACCCUAUAAAACUUUAUAUGUUAGUAAAAUUUAAUUAAAUUAUAAAAGUUUAAUUUUACGUUGUAUUUUAUUGGGGCGAUAAAGGUAUAAUUUAUAUAACUGCUUAUAAUGCAAACAAUGAUAUUUGAGUAAUUAAUAAAUGAUCCUUUUUAAAGAUUAAAAGACUAAGUUACUUUAGGGAUAACAGCGUAAUUUCUUUUGAGAGCCCAUAUCUAAAAAGAAGAUUGCGACCUCGAUGUUGAAUUAAAAUAAUCUAUUUAAGGGCAGCCCCUUAAUAAGAAGAUCUGUUCGAUCUUUAAAUUUUUACAUGAUUUGAGUUCAAACCGGCGUGAGCCAGGUUGGUUUCUAUCUA
RNAcentral lists this ribosomal RNA (583 nucleotides) under Pilumnus dasypodus. Its description in RNAcentral is "partial large subunit ribosomal RNA". It matches the Rfam family "Bacterial large subunit ribosomal RNA", at positions 1796 to 2644 of the family's 2925-position model. Lineage: Eukaryota; Metazoa; Arthropoda; Malacostraca; Decapoda; Pilumnidae. The record is from RNAcentral.